GGGCGUUAAGUUGCAGGGUAUAGACCCGAAACCCGGUGAUCUAGCCAUGGGCAGGUUGAAGGUUGGGUAACACUAACUGGAGGACCGAACCGACUAAUGUUGAAAAAUUAGCGGAUGACUUGUGGCUGGGGGUGAAAGGCCAAUCAAACCGGGAGAUAGCUGGUUCUCCCCGAAAGCUAUUUAGGUAGCGCCUCGUGAACUCAUCUUCGGGGGUAGAGCACUGUUUCGGCUAGGGGGUCAUCCCGACUUACCAACCCGAUGCAAACUACGAAUACCGAAGAAUGUUAUCACGGGAGACACACGGCGGGUGCUAACGUCCGUCGUGAAGAGGGAAACAACCCAGACCGCCAGCUAAGGUCCCAAAGUCAUGGUUAAGUGGGAAACGAUGUGGGAAGGCACAGACAGCCAGGAUGUUGGCUUAGAAGCAGCCAUCAUUUAAAGAAAGCGUAAUAGCUCACUGGUCGAGUCGGCCUGCGCGGAAGAUGUAACGGGGCUAAACCAUGCACCGAAGCUGCGGCAGCGACACUAUGUGUUGUUGGGUAGGGGAGCGUUCUGUAAGCCUGCGAAGGUGUGCUGUGAGGCAUGCUGGAGGUAUCAGAAGUGCGAAUGCUGACAUAAGUAACGAUAAAGCGGGUGAAAAGCCCGCUCGCCGGAAGACCAAGGGUUCCUGUCCAACGUUAAUCGGGGCAGGGUGAGUCGACCCCUAAGGCGAGGCCGAAAGGCGUAGUCGAUGGGAAACAGGUUAAUAUUCCUGUACUUGGUGUUACUGCGAAGGGGGGACGGAGAAGGCUAUGUUAGCCGGGCGACGGUUGUCCCGGUUUAAGCAUGUAGGCUGGU
This 837-nucleotide ribosomal RNA is filed under the name Klebsiella pneumoniae. Its description in RNAcentral is "partial 23S ribosomal RNA". It matches the Rfam family "Bacterial large subunit ribosomal RNA", at positions 690 to 1529 of the family's 2925-position model. The record is from RNAcentral. Lineage: Bacteria; Pseudomonadati; Pseudomonadota; Gammaproteobacteria; Enterobacterales; Enterobacteriaceae.